CAGAAUAAAGCUUAGUAAGCAUUUCAUUUACACUGGGAAGAAGCUGUUAAAAG
This 53-nucleotide transfer RNA is filed under the name Caenis robusta. RNAcentral describes it as "tRNA-Val". The record is from RNAcentral. Lineage: Eukaryota; Metazoa; Arthropoda; Insecta; Ephemeroptera; Caenidae.